AUACGGAGGAUCCGAGCGUUAUCCGGAUUUAUUGGGUUUAAAGGGUGCGCAGGCGGCCAUUUAAGUCAGCGGUUAAAUCGUGGGGCUCAACCCCAUUCUGCCGUUGAUACUGGGUGGCUUGAUUGCGGUCGAGGUUGGCGGAAUUCGUUGUGUAGCGGUGAAAUGCAUAGAUAUGACGAAGAACACCGAUUGCGUAGGCAGCUGACCAGACCGCAAAUGACGCUCAUGCACGAAAGUGCGGGGAUCGUACAGGAUUAGAUACCCUGGUAGUCCGCACAGUAAACGAUGAAUACUUGUUUUCGGCGAUAUAAUGUCGGAGGCAAAGCGAAAGCGAUAAGUAUUCCACCUGGGGAGUACGCCGGCAACGGUGAAACUCAAAUGAAUUGGCGGGG
RNAcentral lists this ribosomal RNA (392 nucleotides) under uncultured bacterium. Its description in RNAcentral is "partial 16S ribosomal RNA". It matches the Rfam family "Bacterial small subunit ribosomal RNA", at positions 523 to 918 of the family's 1533-position model. The record is from RNAcentral.